UGAAAUUGUGUUUCACUAAGAAUUUUAUAUCCAACCAUCAAUAUAGUAUGAAGGUAGAAUAAAGACAUUUUCAGAGAUUCAAGGUCUCAAAACUUCACGCCUUAUGUACCCUUUCUGGGGAAAUUACUAUUUUCAAAAUAAGAGAGGCAACGGAGAAAGAAGACAAAGAGCCCAGGAAAUGGCAGAGCUAUGCUAGAGGAUGAAAGGAAGUCGUAGAGUGACAACCAUGCCUCAAAGCCUAGGGUGCAGCCAGUGCUGAUUAGAUCAGAGGACAGAGGCCCAGAUGGUGACUUUACCUGGGGUAGAAUUGGAGUUGGUGGCUCAAAAGGCCUGACACUUUUUAGUGCUACGUACAGAAAAAUUGUCUUCCAGAAGCUGUAAUCACUUAUACAGACACCAGCCUAUACGACAAACACACAGAGAGAGAAGCAGGCUCCAUGCAGAAAGCCCGACGUGGGACCCGAUCCUGAG
Molecule: long non-coding RNA, 471 nt
Organism: Canis lupus familiaris (dog)
Lineage: Eukaryota; Metazoa; Chordata; Mammalia; Carnivora; Canidae
Exons: 3
Source: RefSeq, a predicted model, not a curated record